GCCGCCCAAGCCCUGGGGUGACCGAAUCCCCGCGGGGACUCGUCAUGCCGGGCCGUCGCCUCCGUUGCUCUCGCUCUAACUGGGGGCGCCUUGCCCGCCGAGCCUGCACGGAGGCGGCCCCUUCCUCUCUCGCCCUCCGAGGCGGGGGAGGGGGGCGGGGGGGGCUCUGUUCGCCCCUCCCCGGCUCCCUGCCGACCUUGGCGUCUCCAGGAAACGCCGGAGCGCCCAGCCCAUCGCCAUGGCAACGCGGGCCGGGCCGGCUCCUCUUCAGGGAUGAUUGACGUAGGGGAGUGCUGCAGCCGCCCCCAGCCCCGUUAUGGGGAGUAUGGCCCCAGGUGACACAAUGGCCGCAGGCUCCAUGGCGGCUGGCUUCUUCCAGCCCUUCAUGUCACCGCGCUUCCCAGGGGGCCCCCGGCCCACCCUGCGGAUGCCGAGUCAGCCUCCCGCAGGCCUCCCUGGCUCCCAGCCCCUCCUCCCUGGCGCCAUGGAGCCCUCCCCACGAGCCCAGGGGCAUCCGAGCAUGGGCGGCCCAAUGCAGAGGGUGACGCCUCCUCGUGGCAUGGCCAGCGUGGGGCCCCAGAGCUAUGGAGGUGGCAUGCGACCCCCACCCAACUCCCUCGCCGGCCCAGGCCUGCCUGCCAUGAACAUGGGCCCAGGAGUUCGUGGCCCGUGGGCCAGCCCCAGUGGAAACUCGAUCCCCUACUCCUCCUCAUCCCCCGGCAGCUACACCGUA
RNAcentral lists this long non-coding RNA (733 nucleotides) under Homo sapiens (human). RNAcentral describes it as "long non-coding RNA NONHSAT062968.2". The record is from RNAcentral. Lineage: Eukaryota; Metazoa; Chordata; Mammalia; Primates; Hominidae.